ACCGGAGUGGACGCAUCACUGGUGUUCGGGUUGUCAUGCCAAUGGCACUGCCCGGUAGCUAAAUGCGGAAGAGAUAAGUGCUGAAAGCAUCUAAGCACGAAACUUGCCCCGAGAUGAGUUCUCCCUGAGACUUUGAGUCUCCUGAAGGAACGUUAAAGACGAUGACGUUGAUAGGCCGGGUGUGUAAGCGCAGCGAUGCGUUGAGCUAACCGGUACUAAUGAACCGUGAGGCUUAACCUUACAACGCCGAAG
This 252-nucleotide ribosomal RNA is filed under the name Salmonella enterica subsp. enterica. RNAcentral's name for it is "partial 23S ribosomal RNA". It matches the Rfam family "Bacterial large subunit ribosomal RNA", at positions 2691 to 2925 of the family's 2925-position model. Lineage: Bacteria; Pseudomonadati; Pseudomonadota; Gammaproteobacteria; Enterobacterales; Enterobacteriaceae. The record is from RNAcentral.